RNAcentral lists this small nuclear RNA (159 nucleotides) under Rhipicephalus microplus (southern cattle tick). RNAcentral describes it as "U1 spliceosomal RNA". Lineage: Eukaryota; Metazoa; Arthropoda; Arachnida; Ixodida; Ixodidae. The record is from RNAcentral.
AUACAUUCUAUGCCGGACUCCCGGAGUUCAAAAAACCGGGAGUCCCGUGCGAGGCCUCCGCGUCAGUGCAGGGGGCUGAGCAUGCCAUUCACCCCAAAACUGGGGUGGAUGGGGCAUAUAAUUUUUGGUAGUGGGGCUUGGCGAGUCCGCCAGGCCCCU